RNAcentral lists this long non-coding RNA (923 nucleotides) under Homo sapiens (human). Its description in RNAcentral is "HSALNT0303194". Lineage: Eukaryota; Metazoa; Chordata; Mammalia; Primates; Hominidae. The record is from RNAcentral.
AGCAACACAGCUCUCCCUUUCUAGAAACAGGGUUUCCCCUCCAGGCUUGGAUUCUUAAAUCUAAAAAGAGCCUCUCACCUGAGGCCUUCACCUGAGAGCUGGAGCCUGUGCGAUGGAUUAUCUGGACAGGGACCCCAAUGAACAGGGCUCUGCUGGAGUGAGGAAGCUGACUGAGGGAAGAACCAGAAGGCUGCCAAAAUGUCUGCUGCUGGGGAAACCAAACCACAGUAACUUCAGAAAUAUAUACUUGGAAUAUGUCAUGUAUUAAUGGGUAAAGACACCGUGGAUAUGAAGGAAAUCACCUAUGGGAGAAUAUUAAGAAGAGAAGAAGGGGCUGCUGGCUGUAGUGAAAUGUAUAAAAAGGAGAGUGUGAUCCUAGUUUCUGUCUCUAACUAUGAGUUACUUGUGAUUAACUUCAAAUAUUCUCUCCAUAAGAAGAGGCCCAGAAGAAGAAGAUGAGCUUCAGUUAUUCUAGCACAACUGCUGUGAUAUUUGUAAAUAUUCAAAACCUAUAAUAAAAUGUAUAAAAGGAAACUCCAUUUGAAAUGAUUUGAAAUCUCACAUGGAAAUCUAUUUUUUUUAAAUCAGAGCUUAGUAAGAGAAAAUAACAGAACAUUGUAAUAAUUGAAUUACAAAAACAACUGAAUUUUGGAAAAUUUAUUUUCUCUCAUGUGAUGUGUGUGUAUGUGUGUGUGUGUGUGUGUGUAUCUAUUUAGCAAUGGCGUUAUUCUAUCAAAUGGGAUUAGAUUCAUUUUUGACUCCUGCUAAGCACCCUGUCCCCCCAACCCCAAGAUUAUGAAAGCGGAAGGGAAGGGGGAGAUAGGAAAUAUGACUUAUUUAAACUGUAUAAAAAUGCUGAAAUAAAAUGAACAUUCAAAACUCAUGUGAUUGAAUUUAAUCUUUCUUUUGUUCAACACAUUCAC